AGAGUUUGAUCAUGGCUCAGGAUGAACGCUGGCGGCGUGCCUAAUACAUGCAAGUCGAGCGGUAAGGCUUUCACUCUGUAUUUAAUGAGUUGAAUAUAGUGUGAAAGUACACGAGCGGCGGACGGCUGAGUAACGCGUAGGAACGUACCCCAAAGUGAGGGGAUAAGCACCGGAAACGGUGUCUAAUACCGCAUGUGAUCUUCGGAUUAAAGCUUUAUGCGCUUUGGGAGCGGCCUGCGUAAGAUUAGUUUGUUGGUGAGGUAAAUGGCUCACCAAGACUACGAUCUUUAGCUGGUCUGAGAGGAUGAUCAGCCAGACUGGGACUGAGACACGGCCCAGACUCCUACGGGAGGCAGCAGUAGGGAAUUUCCACAAUGGACGAAAGUCUGAUGGAGCAACGCCGCGUGCAGGAUGAAGGCCUUCGGGUUGUAAACUGCUUUUAUCUGUGACGAUUAUGACGGUAGCAGAUGAAUAAGGAUCGGCUAACUCCGUG
This 493-nucleotide ribosomal RNA is filed under the name uncultured bacterium. RNAcentral describes it as "bacterial SSU rRNA". It matches the Rfam family "Bacterial small subunit ribosomal RNA", at positions 8 to 507 of the family's 1533-position model. The record is from RNAcentral.